GCUAAACGCGAAGAACCUUACCUACUCUUGACAUCCAGGGAACUUAGCAGAGAUGCUUUGGUGCCUUCGGGAACUCUGAGACAGGUGCUGCAUGGCUGUCGUCAGCUCGUGUUGUGAAAUGUUGGGUUAAGUCCCGCAACGAGCGCAACCCUUAUCCUUUGUUGCCAGCGGUCCGGCCGGGAACUCAAAGGAGACUGCCAGUGAUAAACUGGAGGAAGGUGGGGAUGACGUCAAGUCAUCAUGGCCCUUACGAGUAGGGCUACACACGUGCUACAAUGGCGUAUACAAAGAGAAGCGACCUCGCGAGAGCAAGCGGACCUCAUAAAGUACGUCGUAGUCCGGAUUGGAGUCUGCAACUCGACUCCAUGAAGUCGGAAUCGCUAGUAAUCGUAGAUCAGAAUGCUACGGUGAAUACGUUCCCGGGUCUUGUACACACCG
Molecule: ribosomal RNA, 438 nt
Filed under: uncultured bacterium
Lineage: Bacteria
Description: bacterial SSU rRNA
Rfam family: Bacterial small subunit ribosomal RNA
Source: RNAcentral